GGAGGCGUGGCCGAGCGGUUUAAGGCACCGGUCUUGAAAACCGGCAAGGGGCAACCCUUCGUGAGUUCGAAUCUCACCGCCUCCGCCA
RNAcentral lists this transfer RNA (88 nucleotides) under Burkholderiales bacterium. RNAcentral describes it as "tRNA-Ser". It matches the Rfam family "tRNA". From Rfam's summary of the family: Transfer RNA (tRNA) molecules are approximately 80 nucleotides in length. Their secondary structure includes four short double-helical elements and three loops (D, anti-codon, and T loops). Lineage: Bacteria; Pseudomonadati; Pseudomonadota; Betaproteobacteria; Burkholderiales. RNAcentral also lists the same sequence under 4 other names. The record is from RNAcentral.